GUCCCGCGGUGCAAAACAACAACCUACCAAAGAUCAUACUGGAUAAGAACCAUCAGAACAUGGAACACAUUGACGGUCAUACUUGACUUGAGUAUGGAGAACUUCAACACAUUCAAGUCUGUAAUGCGAGAGUACUACCAUACUGCAUUAACGAACACAUACGAUUGUGAUGAUGUACGAACUUUUAAAACGAUUUGCCCGAAAUGCAAUAGAGCAAG
Non-coding RNA from Paramuricea clavata, 218 nucleotides. Lineage: Eukaryota; Metazoa; Cnidaria; Anthozoa; Malacalcyonacea; Plexauridae. The record is from the annotation of a GenBank genome assembly.